AUAUAUAUAUAUAUAUAUAUAUAUAUAUAUUUAUCAUAUGUUUAGUAGUAAAUACAGUAGUUUUGCAUAUGUGAUAAAUAGCCUGUUGUUUAAUCCAUAUCGCGCAACUUUGAUGCGCACUCUUUAUCGCAUACCCUUUAUCACACCCCUACCCUUUAUCGCAUACCCUUUAUCACACCCCUACUUUUUUUUUUUUUUUUUUUUUUUUUUACAUAAAGUCAGUUUUUUUUUUUUUUUUUUUUUUUUUUUUUGCUUAAGAAAAAUUUUCCUCAAAAUAGGUAAAUUUUUUGAAUGACGUCAUUGUUUGGUAUGCGACGUCACGAACGUCGAGUUUUCAUAUUGUAUGUGACGUCACGAACGUCAAGUUUUUAUAUUUUUUGGCAAACUAAAUGCAACUAUGAAAAAUACAAAACACACAAAUUAAUAC
RNAcentral lists this long non-coding RNA (427 nucleotides) under Mytilus galloprovincialis (Mediterranean mussel). The record is from RNAcentral. Lineage: Eukaryota; Metazoa; Mollusca; Bivalvia; Mytilida; Mytilidae.